RNAcentral lists this transfer RNA (73 nucleotides) under Xenopus laevis (African clawed frog). It matches the Rfam family "tRNA". From Rfam's summary of the family: Transfer RNA (tRNA) molecules are approximately 80 nucleotides in length. Their secondary structure includes four short double-helical elements and three loops (D, anti-codon, and T loops). Further hydrogen bonds mediate the characteristic L-shaped molecular structure. tRNAs have two regions of fundamental functional importance: the anti-codon, which is responsible for specific mRNA codon recognition, and the 3' end, to which the tRNAs corresponding amino acid is attached (by aminoacyl-tRNA synthetases). tRNAs cope with the degeneracy of the genetic code in two manners: having more than one tRNA (with a specific anti-codon) for a particular amino acid; and 'wobble' base-pairing, i.e. permitting non-standard base-pairing at the 3rd anti-codon position. Lineage: Eukaryota; Metazoa; Chordata; Amphibia; Anura; Pipidae. The record is from Rfam by way of RNAcentral.
GCUUCCAUGGCUCAGUGGCUAGAGCACCGGUCUUGUAAAUCAAUGCUUGCGAGUUUAAUUCUCACUGGGGUCU